RNAcentral lists this small RNA (148 nucleotides) under Pongo abelii (Sumatran orangutan). RNAcentral's name for it is "Metazoan signal recognition particle RNA (ENSPPYG00000040077.1)". Lineage: Eukaryota; Metazoa; Chordata; Mammalia; Primates; Hominidae. The record is from Rfam by way of RNAcentral.
GCCGGGUGUGGUGGCGCGCGCCUGUAAUCCCAGCUACUUAGGAGGCUGAGGCAGGAGAAUCGCUUGAACCCAGGAGGCGGAGGUUGCAGUGAGCCGAGAUUACGCCACCGCACUCCAGCCUGGGCAACAGAGCGAGACUCCAUCUCAA